CAAUCUGCCUUGGAGUGGGGAAUAACGGUUGGAAACAGCCGCUAAUACCGCAUGAUGCGUCUGGGAGGCAUCUCUCUGGGCGCCAAAGAUUUAUCGCUCUGAGAUGAGCUCGCAUCUGAUUAGCUUGUUGGCGGGGUAAAGGCCCACCAAGGCGACGAUCAGUAGCCGGACUGAGAGGUUGGCCGGCCACAUUGGGACUGAGACACGGCCCAGACUCCUACGGGAGGCAGCAG
Molecule: ribosomal RNA, 233 nt
Filed under: uncultured bacterium
Lineage: Bacteria
Description: partial 16S ribosomal RNA
Rfam family: Bacterial small subunit ribosomal RNA
Source: RNAcentral